RNAcentral lists this long non-coding RNA (1305 nucleotides) under Sus scrofa (pig). Its description in RNAcentral is "lncRNA (ENSSSCG00015005263.1)". The record is from RNAcentral. Lineage: Eukaryota; Metazoa; Chordata; Mammalia; Artiodactyla; Suidae.
UUAAGAGAAGCAAACUAUUGCCUUUGGAAUGGAUAAGCAAUGAGAUCCUGCCAUGUAGCUCUGGGAACUAUGUCUAGUUAUUUAUGAUGGAGCAGGAUAAUGUGAGAAAAUAGAAUGUAUACAUGUAUGUGUAACUGGGUCACCAUGCUGUACAGGAGAAAAAAAAUUGUAUUGGGGAAAUAACAAUUAAAAAAAUAGACGUAGGUCAAAUGACCGAAUGAAUAGCAACAACAUGGCUCUGGUUUAGAACUGGGAACUGAGACUGAAUUAAUUCUUCUUAAUUUAUUUUCCCACAUGCCAAUCACAUGUGCUCUGAGCCACUCUGUUCCUAGGAGUGCUGCUUGUGUCCUCCCACAGACGAGCUUCCGAGAGGAAACUGAGCUUCUGAGAAGAAAUGUGGUACCUCAAGGAUGCCCCGACGAUAUUAGAACAAGGAAGGGUGGACCUUUUACUAGUCGGUCUGCUUUUCUAUCUCCUGCGGUGAAGCUCCUGGUCAUCACCUGUCCAUGGGGCAUGAGCAUGGGAAAACUGAUGGAACCAGCAAGAUACUGCCUCUUCAAAAACAUCCUAAUUUCUGGAGUUUCUGUCUCUGACUGGCCGCAGUGGUUUUGAGGUCUUCAUGUCCGAAUCACGGUACACGAGGCGCUUUUGUUUAAGACACUGGCUUGUAAUUGGACAUCCUCUGGUCUUUUAAGACUAUGUGUACUAGGACUUUCUGUGCUAAAGGGAAAAAAAUGGAUGAAAAAUCAGAAAUUAUCUGUGAAAGGCAAGAAUCAUCUUGCAGGUCCUUUGCUGUGUGAUCAUCAAAUGCAAGAAAUGAUGGAGCUGGCAGAAGACAAGGCUGGGAUUCAAUGAUGUGCAGACAAUGUUUUCUCACAAUGUAAAGGUGAAAAAACUGAGGCGCUAUUGAAAUUUUGAGGGGUCAGAGCAUGUGGUAUUACUACGAGGCCCACUUCCUGCAUCAUUCCCAGGAGGCAGGUCCAUGACAGCAGGUGCGAGUCGCCAGGAAGCACUUCCUUUGGGAUCAAGCCCUGUGAUCACCAUCAUGCAUUUACUGAUCCCACAUGCCAGGCCCAGGGCUGGGGGUAGGGGAGACACAUCCCCUGCCUCCAAAGGGGGACAAUCCAGGGAUCCAAAGUGUGUGAUCCUAAGCAUCCAUGUAAAAAGUUCAAAGGGGAUACUCAAAACAGCACGGAGGAGACUCCAUCAGCUGGUUGCUUCUUGGGGAAGACUGCCUGGAAGAGGCUUCCUCUUUGGAAAUCUGUGCAUCCAAGAAAGAAAAUAAAAAUUCUGGGCAAUUGCCCA